Molecule: non-coding RNA, 243 nt
Filed under: Heyndrickxia coagulans
Lineage: Bacteria; Bacillati; Bacillota; Bacilli; Caryophanales; Bacillaceae
Description: Bacillus coagulans T-box sequence
Rfam family: T-box leader
About the family: Uncharged tRNA acts as the effector for transcription antitermination of genes in the T-box leader family. T-boxes are found upstream of many aminoacyl-tRNA synthetase genes and some amino acid biosynthetic genes usually in Gram-positive bacteria. The anticodon of a specific tRNA base pairs to a specifier sequence within the T-box motif, and the NCCA acceptor tail of the tRNA base pairs to a conserved bulge in the T-box antiterminator hairpin.
Source: RNAcentral
UUUCAGGCGAUGAAGAAGAAGAGUAACCUGUGUGGAUUCCGAAGAGAGCCGGUGGGUGGUGCGAACCGGUGAUGACGUGCAGGCGAAUGGGCUUCCGAGCUUCCAAACCGAAACGAUUCCGGAGUAGGCUUUGGCGAAUGCCUUAUCGUUACAAAAGGCAGGUAUUACGGUUUUUCCCUGAUACCGUCAAAGCCGGGCUGAUUAAGCCAAUAAAGGUGGCACCGCGGGUUCCCCGUCCUUUAC